RNAcentral lists this non-coding RNA (49 nucleotides) under Trichobilharzia regenti. Lineage: Eukaryota; Metazoa; Platyhelminthes; Trematoda; Strigeidida; Schistosomatidae. The record is from RNAcentral.
GUACUGCUGAAGAGUCCCAAACUGCGCUGACGAAACAGCUGUCCAGUAC